AUACGGAGGGUGCAAGCGUUAUUCGGAAUCACUGGGCGUAAAGGACGCGUAGGCGGGUUGGUAAGUCAGAUGUGAAAUCCUACAGCUUAACUGUAGAACUGCAUUUGAAACUGCUAACCUAGAGUAUGGGAGGGGGAGAUGGAAUUAGUGGUGUAGGGGUAAAAUCCGUAGAUAUCACUAGGAAUACCGAAAGCGAAGGCGAUCUCCUGGAACAUAACUGACGCUAAGGCGUGAAAGCGUGGGGAGCAAACAGGAUUAGAAACCCUAGUAGUCC
This 274-nucleotide ribosomal RNA is filed under the name uncultured bacterium. RNAcentral describes it as "partial 16S ribosomal RNA". It matches the Rfam family "Bacterial small subunit ribosomal RNA", at positions 523 to 796 of the family's 1533-position model. The record is from RNAcentral.